This 507-nucleotide long non-coding RNA is filed under the name Ananas comosus (pineapple). RNAcentral's name for it is "long non-coding RNA (ACOM_LNC021015)". Lineage: Eukaryota; Viridiplantae; Streptophyta; Magnoliopsida; Poales; Bromeliaceae. The record is from RNAcentral.
UGAGUCUAUCCAUCACUCAAAAUGCUAUAACUGAAUUAAGAGAUUUAGUCCUACUAUAUCUUACAUAUAAGAUUAUUCCAAAUUCUUGAAUUGUCACAUUCCUUCUCUUUUUAAACCCUGGCGUUCUCGUCAAGCUCAACGACACUCAUAAGCACUAAGCGAUGUGAGACUCAUCUCGCUAGCUUAGCCGACCUUAUGGAGAGCCCCGCUUCACGCACAACAGUCAUCAACUGGAUAUCCACGCUCCAUUCGACGUAUGAUGCUAGCUCAGUCGGCGACUCGGCUGGUGAUUAGUUCUGAUACCAAUUGUGACACCCCACUUCACAAAGGUCCUCUAUCCUAGAACUAUGUACUCUAAUCUUAAUAUGCUUAACCUUUUUAACCUCAUGAGUUUAGCUACCGCUCAAAAUAUUAUAGCCGAGUUAAGAAUUUUAGUCCUAUUAUAUCUUAUAUAUAAGACUAUGCCAAAUUCUGAAAGUGUUACACUGGUCACUUAUUUUUGAUACU